GAGGCUGUGCCUGAAUAAAGGAACGCUUUGAUAGAGCGGAUAAUGGGGGUUAAAGUCCUCCCGGCCUCU
This 69-nucleotide transfer RNA is filed under the name Arnoglossus laterna (scaldfish). Its description in RNAcentral is "tRNA-Ile". It matches the Rfam family "tRNA". From Rfam's summary of the family: Transfer RNA (tRNA) molecules are approximately 80 nucleotides in length. Their secondary structure includes four short double-helical elements and three loops (D, anti-codon, and T loops). Further hydrogen bonds mediate the characteristic L-shaped molecular structure. tRNAs have two regions of fundamental functional importance: the anti-codon, which is responsible for specific mRNA codon recognition, and the 3' end, to which the tRNAs corresponding amino acid is attached (by aminoacyl-tRNA synthetases). tRNAs cope with the degeneracy of the genetic code in two manners: having more than one tRNA (with a specific anti-codon) for a particular amino acid; and 'wobble' base-pairing, i.e. permitting non-standard base-pairing at the 3rd anti-codon position. Lineage: Eukaryota; Metazoa; Chordata; Actinopteri; Pleuronectiformes; Bothidae. The record is from RNAcentral.